RNAcentral lists this long non-coding RNA (458 nucleotides) under Apteryx rowi (Okarito brown kiwi). RNAcentral's name for it is "lncRNA (ENSARWG00000008479.1)". Lineage: Eukaryota; Metazoa; Chordata; Aves; Apterygiformes; Apterygidae. The record is from RNAcentral.
GUGCUCUCAGAUUAUUUGAAUGGAGCUGGCUGAGAAACGUAGUCCUUGUGGAAACUGUUUUGAAGAGGGCUAUUUUUCCCCUGUGUCAUGAUAAGCAGGAAAGAGUCUCUGGAGCGCUUUUAAAAUGAUCGCUUAUUUUAGGAAAGAAGAACAUGAUUCUGAGAGAGAAACAGAGAAGGUAUCCUUUGGUGGGAAGCCUUCAGUAUGGUCACAGAAAGACUAUGGAAAGUAUAAAUUCUCACUUGGACAAUUGCAUUUUUCCACUGAGUCUUCUUGUACUUCUUUCAACCAGCUGUCUUCUAUUUUGUGCUUAGCCUCACCUGCUGAGGAGUAUGUAUUUACACCCUUGGAAGAGUGGUGAGGUUCAGCCUGCUAAGGCUGCUGUUCACCACUGUGCAGCCAAUUCCAGCUCUAGGUUGCCUUUCACCGCCCAGCUAUCUUGUGGAAGUUCAGCCCUG